This 968-nucleotide ribosomal RNA is filed under the name uncultured bacterium. RNAcentral describes it as "bacterial SSU rRNA". It matches the Rfam family "Bacterial small subunit ribosomal RNA", at positions 8 to 974 of the family's 1533-position model. The record is from RNAcentral.
AGAGUUUGAUCAUGGCUCAGAUUGAACGCUGGCGGAAUGCUUUACACAUGCAAGUCGAACGGCAGCACGGGUGCUUGCACCUGGUGGCGAGUGGCGAACGGGUGAGUAACAUAUCGGAACGUACCCAGUAAUGGGGGAUAACUAGUCGAAAGAUUAGCUAAUACCGCAUACGCCCUGAGGGGGAAAGCGGGGGACCGUAAGGCCUCGCGUUAUUGGAGCGGCCGAUAUCUGAUUAGCUAGUUGGUGGGGUAAAGGCCUACCAAGGCGACGAUCAGUAGCUGGUCUGAGAGGAUGAUCAGCCACACUGGAACUGAGACACGGUCCAGACUCCUACGGGAGGCAGCAGUGGGGAAUUUUGGACAAUGGGCGCAAGCCUGAUCCAGCCAUUCCGCGUGAGUGAAGAAGGCCUUCGGGUUGUAAAGCUCUUUCGCAAGGGAAGAAAACUUACCUUUUAAUAGAGGGUGAGGUUGACGGUACCUUGAUAAGAAGCACCGGCUAACUACGUGCCAGCAGCCGCGGUAAUACGUAGGUGCGAGCGUUAAUCGGAAUUACUGGGCGGUAAAGCGUGCGCAGGCGGUUUUGUAAGUCAAUGUGAAAGCCCCGGGCUCAACCUGGGAACUGCGUUUGAAACUACAAGGCUAGAGUAUGGGAGAGGGGGGUAGAAUUCCACGUGUAGCAGUGAAAUGCGUAGAGAUGUGGAGGAAUACCAAUGGCGAAUGCAGCCCCCUGGCCUAAUACUGACGCGUCAUGCACGAAAGCGUGGGGAGCAAACCGGAUUAGAUACCCUGGUAGUCCACACCGUAAACGAUGGGCACUAUGUGUAGGGGGCGUAACCUCUGUGCCGCAGCUUACACAUUAAGUGCCCGCUGGGGAGUACAUCGCAAGAUUUAAAACUCAAAGGAAUUGACGGGCCCGCACAACAAGCCGGAGCAAUGUGGUUUAAUUCGAAGCAACGCGAAGAACCUUAC